This 497-nucleotide ribosomal RNA is filed under the name uncultured bacterium. Its description in RNAcentral is "partial 16S ribosomal RNA". It matches the Rfam family "Bacterial small subunit ribosomal RNA", at positions 28 to 507 of the family's 1533-position model. The record is from RNAcentral.
GACGAACGCUGGCGGCGUGCCUAAUACAUGCAAGUUGAGCGAUGAAGAUUGGUGCUUGCACCAAUUUGAAGAGCAGCGAACGGGUGAGUAACGCGUGGGGAAUCUGCCUUUGAGCGGGGGACAACAUUUGGAAACGAAUGCUAAUACCGCAUAACAACUUUAAACAUAAGUUUUAAGUUUGAAAGAUGCAAUUGCAUCACUCAAAGAUGAUCCCGCGUUGUAUUAGCUAGUUGGUGAGGUAAAGGCUCACCAAGGCGAUGAUACAUAGCCGACCUGAGAGGGUGAUCGGCCACAUUGGGACUGAGACACGGCCCAAACUCCUACGGGAGGCAGCAGUAGGGAAUCUUCGGCAAUAGACGAAAGUCUGACCGAGCAACGCCGCGGGAGUGAAGAAGGUUUUCGGAUCGGAAAACUCUGUUGGUAGAGAAGAACGUUGGUGAGAGUGGAAAGCUCAUCAAGUGACGGUAACUACACAGAAAGGGACGGCUAACUACGUG